This 465-nucleotide ribosomal RNA is filed under the name uncultured organism. RNAcentral's name for it is "bacterial SSU rRNA". It matches the Rfam family "Bacterial small subunit ribosomal RNA", at positions 28 to 507 of the family's 1533-position model. The record is from RNAcentral.
GACGAACGCUGGCGGCGUGCUUAACACAUGCAAGUCGAACGAUGAUGCCAGCUUGCUGGUGGAUUAGUGGCGAACGGGUGAGUAACACGUGAGUAACCUACCCCUUACUUCGGGAUAACCAUUGGAAACGGUGGCUAAUACUGGAUAUGAGGCAUGGCCGCAUGGUCUGUGUCUGGAAAGAUUUAUUGGUGGGGGAUGGACUCGCGGCCUAUCAGUUUGUUGGUGAGGUAAUGGCUCACCAAGGCGAUGACGGGUAGCCGGCCUGAGAGGGCGACCGGCCACACUGGGACUGAGAUACGGCCCAGACUCCUACGGGAGGCAGCAGUGGGGAAUAUUGCACAAUGGGCGAAAGCCUGAUGCAGCGACGCCGCGUGGGGGAUGAAGGCCUUCGGGUUGUAAACUCCUUUUAGUAGGGAAGAAGCGAGAGUGACGGUACCUGCAGAAAAAGCGCCGGCUAACUACGUG